GGACAGGUGGCCGAGUGGUCAAUGGCAGCAGACUGUAAAUCUGCCCGCGCAAGCGUUCGCUGGUUCAAAUCCAGCCCUGUCCACCA
RNAcentral lists this transfer RNA (86 nucleotides) under Alphaproteobacteria bacterium RIFCSPHIGHO2_02_FULL_40_34. Its description in RNAcentral is "tRNA-Tyr". It matches the Rfam family "tRNA". Rfam says of the family: Transfer RNA (tRNA) molecules are approximately 80 nucleotides in length. Their secondary structure includes four short double-helical elements and three loops (D, anti-codon, and T loops). Further hydrogen bonds mediate the characteristic L-shaped molecular structure. tRNAs have two regions of fundamental functional importance: the anti-codon, which is responsible for specific mRNA codon recognition, and the 3' end, to which the tRNAs corresponding amino acid is attached (by aminoacyl-tRNA synthetases). tRNAs cope with the degeneracy of the genetic code in two manners: having more than one tRNA (with a specific anti-codon) for a particular amino acid; and 'wobble' base-pairing, i.e. permitting non-standard base-pairing at the 3rd anti-codon position. RNAcentral also lists the same sequence under 3 other names. The record is from RNAcentral. Lineage: Bacteria; Pseudomonadati; Pseudomonadota; Alphaproteobacteria.